RNAcentral lists this long non-coding RNA (597 nucleotides) under Triticum aestivum (bread wheat). RNAcentral's name for it is "long non-coding RNA (TAES_LNC028639)". Lineage: Eukaryota; Viridiplantae; Streptophyta; Magnoliopsida; Poales; Poaceae. The record is from RNAcentral.
UUGUACAGAACUUUUACUAUAGUUUUAGUAUUACAGUAUAACUAGUCUGAACUUGGACUGAAUUCAGAGUACUACUGAUGCCUGUUGCAUCUCAUUCACAAGCAACCUCAUGCCCGUCUCCACUCAACUACGUACCCAACAUCAUGUCUCGAUGCGAGAUUCUUCAAUUGCAUCUUCUCUUUUUUCAGACCAUUCGCCAAUAUCAUGUCACGAUUCACCUACAGACCACACCCUGAAAUCGCAUUGCAAUCAGCGAACAAUAGAAUUUCUCCAAGGAAAGAGGCUCAUACAAGAACAGCAAGAACACACUUUUGAUUUCCCUAGUACCUGCGUCCUGGAUUCAGCACGCUUCAAGAAAUGCGUCGAGGCUGAAGCUCGUAUUGCUUCUCACUGCGCAUCCACACAGCCUCUCUAGCUCGUACUGCAAAGGACCCUCCUGAUAUGCCACCGGCGACUGCGACGUCGCCGCCGUACCACUGGAAUAGGAGGAGCUUGCCGAGAAGCUCGCGAACGACGCCAUGGACUGCAGCCAAUUCGAGAAUGAGGUCUGAAUUCGAGCGUGAGGUCUGGAUCGAGCGAGCGAGCAUCAAUGGGGAA